RNAcentral lists this transfer RNA (73 nucleotides) under Marmota monax (woodchuck). RNAcentral describes it as "tRNA.Ala". The record is from RNAcentral. Lineage: Eukaryota; Metazoa; Chordata; Mammalia; Rodentia; Sciuridae.
GUGGGGCUGUAGCUCAGUGGUAGAGCAAUUACCUAGCACAUGUGAGGCACUGGGUUCGAUCCUCAGCACCACA